AUGCAAGUCGAGGGGCAGCAUGGUCUUAGCUUGCUAAGGCCGAUGGCGACCGGCGCACGGGUGAGUAACACGUAUCCAACCUGCCGUCUACUCUUGGACAGCCUUCUGAAAGGAAGAUUAAUACAAGAUGGCAUCAUGAGUCCGCAUGUUCACAUGAUUAAAGGUAUUCCGGUAGACGAUGGGGAUGCGUUCCAUUAGAUAGUAGGCGGGGUAACGGCCCACCUAGUCUUCGAUGGAUAGGGGUUCUGAGAGGAAGGUCCCCCACAUUGGAACUGAGACACGGUCCAAACUCCUACGGGAGGCAGCAGUGAGGAAUAUUGGUCAAUGGGCGCAGGCCUGAACCAGCCAAGUAGCGUGAAGGAUGACUGCCCUAUGGGUUGUAAACUUCUUUUAUAGAGGAAUAAAGUCGGGUAUGUAUACCCGUUUGCAUGUACUUUAUGAAUAAGGAUCGGCUAACUCCGUGCCAGCAGCCGCGGUAAUACGGAGGAUCCGAGCGUUAUCCGGAUUUAUUGGGUUUAAAGGGAGCGUAGAUGGAUGUUUAAGUCAGUUGUGAAAGUUUGCGGCUCAACCGUAAAAUUGCAGUUGAUACUGGAUAUCUUGAGUGCAGCUGAGGCAGGCGGAAUUCGUGGUGUAGCGGUGAAAUGCUUAGAUAUCACGAAGAACUCCGAUUGCGAAGGCAGCCUGCUAAGCUGCAACUGACAUUGAGGCUCGAAAGUGUGGGUAUCAAACAGGAUUAGAUACCCUGGUAGUCCACACGGUAAA
This 762-nucleotide ribosomal RNA is filed under the name uncultured bacterium. Its description in RNAcentral is "bacterial SSU rRNA". It matches the Rfam family "Bacterial small subunit ribosomal RNA", at positions 55 to 806 of the family's 1533-position model. The record is from RNAcentral.